GGGGGGAGCAAGCGUUGUUCGGAUUUACUGGGCGUAAAGGGCGCGUAGGCGGCCAGCACAAGUCAGUUGUGAAAUCUCCGAGCUUAACUCGGAAAGGUCAACUGAUACUGUGCGGCUAGAGUGCGGAAGGGGCAACUGGAAUUCUUGGUGUAGCGGUGAAAUGCGUAGAUAUCAAGAGGAACACCUGCGGCGAAGGCGGGUUGCUGGGCCGACACUGACGCUGAGGCGCGAAAGCCAGGGGAGCGAACGGGAUUAGAUACCCCGGUAGUCCUGGCCUUAAACGAUGAAUGCUUGGUGUCUGGGGUUAUAUAGUCCCCGGGUGCCGUCGCUAACGCUUUAAGCAUUCCGCCUGGGGAGUACGGUCGCA
RNAcentral lists this ribosomal RNA (367 nucleotides) under uncultured bacterium. RNAcentral describes it as "bacterial SSU rRNA". It matches the Rfam family "Bacterial small subunit ribosomal RNA", at positions 527 to 890 of the family's 1533-position model. The record is from RNAcentral.